Long non-coding RNA from Eriocheir sinensis (Chinese mitten crab), 594 nucleotides. RefSeq lists it as uncharacterized. The transcript has 3 exons. NCBI's taxonomy places the organism in Eukaryota, Metazoa, Arthropoda, Malacostraca, Decapoda, Varunidae. The record is from RefSeq and is a predicted model, not a curated record.
GCCAUUGUGUGAAUAGACCUGAAGGCAAGAUGACGCUCUGAUUUCGCUCCUCCUGGCUCUCCUGCAGCGCCCACGGACACCAACUAGACGGCAGAAGACACCCAAGACCCUCUACUAACAUCCUAUAUCGGCGGGGGAAGAUAAUAGGCGAGGAGGAGGUGAGAAAGAGGCAAAAUAUGAGAAGCGAGGGGUCAUCCUUGGCGAGGGCGUAGGGGAAGUCCACUCGACAGCCGGGCAGUGCCGCCUCAAGCUCCCUCACCACAGCAUCCUUGUCCUGUAUCUCCGGCAGGUCGUACAGCAGAAGGGGAGUGAGUGACAGCCCAAGAGAUAGUGAGGAGAGAAGAAAACACAGCUCGACAUACAUUCGUUAGUGGACUUAUGCAGAGAGGGAGCAAAGAAAAAAAGAAGAGGAGAAGAAAGAAGAGAAGAAAGAACAAAGAGAACAUAGCAAGCAAGAUACAUUCCAUACUGGACUUCUGCAGAUGGUAUAAUAUUUCUUCUUUCUCUUUUUAUCUAUCUGCAGAAGUCCUAAUGAACUAUUGCUGAAAGAGAGAGGGAUAUAAGUAAUUCUCUCUCUCUCUCUUCUCUCUUCUC